Molecule: transfer RNA, 73 nt
Filed under: Canis lupus familiaris (dog)
Lineage: Eukaryota; Metazoa; Chordata; Mammalia; Carnivora; Canidae
Also listed under: 1 other name
Rfam family: tRNA
About the family: Transfer RNA (tRNA) molecules are approximately 80 nucleotides in length. Their secondary structure includes four short double-helical elements and three loops (D, anti-codon, and T loops). Further hydrogen bonds mediate the characteristic L-shaped molecular structure. tRNAs have two regions of fundamental functional importance: the anti-codon, which is responsible for specific mRNA codon recognition, and the 3' end, to which the tRNAs corresponding amino acid is attached (by aminoacyl-tRNA synthetases). tRNAs cope with the degeneracy of the genetic code in two manners: having more than one tRNA (with a specific anti-codon) for a particular amino acid; and 'wobble' base-pairing, i.e. permitting non-standard base-pairing at the 3rd anti-codon position.
Source: Rfam by way of RNAcentral
ACCUGACUGGCUUAGUCAGUAGAGCAUGUGACUGUUGGUCUCAGGGUUGUGGGUUCAAGACCUACUCUGGGUA